Molecule: ribosomal RNA, 393 nt
Filed under: uncultured bacterium
Lineage: Bacteria
Description: bacterial SSU rRNA
Rfam family: Bacterial small subunit ribosomal RNA
Source: RNAcentral
GACGAACGCUGGCGGCGUGCUUAACACAUGCAAGUCGAGCGGUAAGGCCCUUUCGGGGGUACACGAGCGGCGAACGGGUGAGUAACACGUGGGUGACCUGCCCUCAGCUCUGGGAUAAGCCUGGGAAACUGGGUCUAAUACUGGAUAUGACUCCACGGUGCAUGUCGUGGGGUGGAAAGCCUUGUGCGGCUGAGGAUGGGCCCGCGGCCUAUCAGCUUGUUGGUGGGGUGAUGGCCUACCAAGGCGACGACGGGUAGCCGGCCUGAGAGGGCGACCGGCCACACUGGGACUGAGACACGGCCCACGACUCCUACGGGAGGCAGCAGUGGGGAAGUCUUGCGCAAUGGGCGAAAGCCUGACGCAGCGACGCCGCGUGAGGGAUGACGGCCUCGG